GGGAUAACCUUGCGAAAGUAAGACUAAUACCCAAUGACGUCUCUAGAAGACAUCUGAAAGAGAUUAAAGAUUUAUCGGUGAUGGAUGGGGAUGCGUCUGAUUAGCUUGUUGGCGGGGUAACGGCCCACCAAGGCGACGAUCAGUAGGGGUUCUGAGAGGAAGGUCCCCCACAUUGGAACUGAGACACGGUCCAAACUCCUACGGGAGGCAGCAGUGAGGAAUAUUGGUCAAUGGACGAGAGUCUGAACCAGCCAAGUAGCGUGCAGGAUGACGGCCCUAUGGGUUGUAAACUGCUUUUAUAAGGGAAUAAAGUGAGUCUCGUGAGACUUUUUGCAUGUACCUUAUGAAUAAGGACCGGCUAAUUCCGUGCCAGCAGCCGCGGUAAUACGGAAGGUCCGGGCGUUAUCCGGAUUUAUUGGGUUUAAAGGGAGCGUAGGCCGGAGAUUAAGCGUGUUGUGAAAUGUAGACGCUCAACGUCUGCACUGCAGCGCGAACUGGUUUCCUUGAGUACGCACAAAGUGGGCGGAAUUCGUGGUGUAGCGGUGAAAUGCUUAGAUAUCACGAAGAACUCCGAUUGCGAAGGCAGCUCACUGGAGCGCAACUGACGCUGAAGCUCGAAAGUGCGGGUAUCGAACAGGAUUAGAUACCCUGGUAGUCCGCACGGUAA
RNAcentral lists this ribosomal RNA (667 nucleotides) under uncultured bacterium. RNAcentral describes it as "bacterial SSU rRNA". It matches the Rfam family "Bacterial small subunit ribosomal RNA", at positions 140 to 805 of the family's 1533-position model. The record is from RNAcentral.